GCUGGGCGUGGUGGCCCAUGCCUGUAAUCCCAGCUACUCAGGAGGCUGAGGCAGGAGAAUUGCUUGAACUCAGGUGGCAGGGGUUGCAGUGAGCUGAGAUCACGCCACUGCACUCCAGCCUGGGUGACAAAGUGAGACUCCAUCUCAA
Molecule: non-coding RNA, 148 nt
Organism: Gorilla gorilla gorilla (western lowland gorilla)
Lineage: Eukaryota; Metazoa; Chordata; Mammalia; Primates; Hominidae
Rfam family: Metazoan signal recognition particle RNA
About the family: The signal recognition particle (SRP) is a universally conserved ribonucleoprotein. It is involved in the co-translational targeting of proteins to membranes.
Source: Rfam